UGGACGAAUCAAUGAAUGAUUUCCGGGUAUUAGCUUGGCUAGCCAUGGAAGCGAAAUCUGACGCCGAUGAACUCCCCCCACCGAUUGCAAGGAGUGUUUUAAUGGAAGGAUUUUUCAGUUGGACAGUCUCAGUGAAGGUGGAGAAUCGGGCCUGGUUUGCCGAGGAAACGGUGACUUGGUUGGUUUGAGAAUCAAGAUCAGCAAAUGCACAAAAAAGAUGAGUGAAAAGUGUGGAAUCUAUGUCGGGAACUGGAAAUCCACUGUCUGCAGACCAAUAGGCAGCUCUAACAACAUUCUGACCGGCGGAGAAGUUAAGCUGAAGCAGAGAGUGCGAACAGAAAAGCAAGAGGCUAAGAAGCUUUGCAGCCAUUGUUGAGUUCCAAAUGCAGCUUUGAAUGGUAUAAUAAAUAUAGCAAUGACCAACAGUGAUUGAAGAAGCACCUAAUACAUGACACUGACCAACUUGCGUAGCCGGUAAAAAAUAUCCAACACUAGAAAAUUAAUCAUACAUUAUUAAUUGGUCAAAUUAUACAACAUAUAGCACUCAUCAAAUUUCAUUCUUUUACUCCAUGAAAAUUUAUUUUCUUUAUAUGAAAUGAGGAUAUUGAUAUCCCAUUUCUUCUAUGUUAUAUAAUAUAUAUGAAUUAUAAUUCACAUAUUAUUUGUUUGGAAUACUUAGAAAUUCCAUUUUUUUCAUUAAAAAAAAUUAAAAUUUUCAACAAUUUUUUUAAAAAAAAAUUCACAGGGUUUAUUUUAUUCAUUUAUUUUGAGUUUGCUUAAUGAUAAAUUGAAUUAGUGAAACUUAUUCAAGAAUAUUUUAUAUAAUUGAUGAGUAUUUUAUUUUUAUUUUGUAUGUUAAAAUUUACAUAGGGUGAUAUUUGAAACCAUGCCACCAAUAUUUUUUUUUCUUUACCACUUAAACAAAAGUUUUAUUUUUAAGGAGUAUUUUACAUAGAGAUUUAGUUACUCUCAUUAUUUGAUAUUUUUAAAUAUAUUGUAUAUUAUUGUAUAUCUUUUAGACAUAUAUUUAAGAAUAUAUUAUAUAUCUUUCUUAUUCCUAUGUGACUACUUCUGUGUAAAUAUUAUGUAUACUAUCAAUAAAAUUGAAAUGGAUUACCCUAUUAUGUGACUAACAUGAACCAGUACUAAUAGAAAAACUGUACAUUCAUUCGAUACCAACUACCUUAAUUUGAAGAGUUGAGAAAACAUUGAAGAAUUUCUAGAUAAUUGAUCGGAAACCUUUGAACAUACCCACGAAUUACGGAAUGAUUUGUCAAAUUUGAUGGAAACUCUUUUCAAAAGAAGAUCCGAGUUUGAUGAGGGUUGAUCCCUAUCAAAGAGUUGGGAGAGUAGUCUCCUAGGGGAGUUAGGCCUUUGUGGGUUGAGUUGAGGUGUUCACUAAUUGCCGUUUCCUGGUUUAGACUUUUCUAUUUUUUAUUAAUUAAAUAUUAAAAUAAAUAAUAUUAUACAUUUAUUCUUUUUGGUACAAAUUACUAAUAGAGAAGGAAAAUGAAAAUCAUAAAAGGAGAUUAAGCUUGUCAACUAUAUUUAUUAAAUAAGUCACCAUCAUUCUUAUUGACAAGGAUCAUAUUAUUUCGUGACUUGUAAUAGUAUAACUGUAUAAAUAUCUUAGUUACUCGCAAUUGGCAUCUACGAUCCCCAAGUUUCCGAUGCUGCCACAUGAAAAAGAAACCCAUUAAAAUGUUAUAAGUUAAUCAAACAAAUUGCUAUGGCUAAAAAGAAUGGUUUAGACCAUUCAGAUUGAGAAUAUAUGGGUAUUAAACCAUUCACUGACCUGCUCGAGAAAGAGUCCAACCAUCAUCAGCGCCAACAUGCCAUGCGAAGUAACCAAGCAACCCUUUUUGUUUACAAUAAGAAACCUUGGCUGUAAUGCUUUCUGUAUCAUCAAAACCAAUCCAGGUCGUCCCAGCGUAGCAAUAAUUCGAAACCACCGUCGCAUUGUAUACCUCAGUGGCGCUGUUGGCCGAAAUAAAAUCCUUGAUCUGACCGUAACCCAAGUCUCCAUUUGGCGUUAUAGCCGGUCCACUAGUCGGUGCAAAAAACCCAUGGUUAUUUGCAUCCACAAGCUGCCAUGCAUAGCCGUAAAAAGGGAAGCCGAGAACUAAUUUAUUCGAUGGAAUACCUGAUUGUAUCCAUGAAGUGAUCCCAUAAUCACCACUAACUUGAGUUCCGGGAUUGUAUAACGCUGCUGGAGGUCCGGUUACAGUUGACCAUCCAGGGCCGUAAAAAUCAUAAGCCAUUACGUUGAUCCAGUCCAGGCUAUUCUGUAUUGCCUGGAUUGGAUAAUCCAGAGUAUAAUAAUCCGAGUUGCGGAAAAAUGCUGCCGACAAAAGUAAUCUUGAGUUGCCAGUAUUGGCGGCUUCAUUAACCAAAGCAACUCUCCAUUCGUUUAGAAGUAAACCCAAGUUGUUCAUUUCAGUAGGUGUUGAUGGGUACUCCCAAUCAAGGUCAAGGCCAUGGAAGCCGUAAGAUCUAGCUAUAUUUAUGGAGGAAUCGAUGAAUGAUUUCCGGGUAUUAGCUUGGCUAGCCAUGGAAGCGAAAUCUGAUGCCGAUGAACUUCCCCCACCGAUUGAAAGGAGUGUUUUAAUGUAAGGAUUUUUCAGUUGGACAGUCUCAGUGAAGGUGGAGAAUCGGGCCUGGUUUGCCGAGGAAACCGUGACUUGGUUGGUUUGAGAAUCAAGAUCAGCAAAUGCGCAGAAAAGGUGAGUGAAAAGCGUGGAGUCUAUAUCGGAAACGGGAAAUUCACUGCCUGCCGACCAAUAAGCAGC
This 2789-nucleotide long non-coding RNA is filed under the name Gossypium raimondii (Peruvian cotton). RNAcentral's name for it is "long non-coding RNA (GRAI_LNC000025)". The record is from RNAcentral. Lineage: Eukaryota; Viridiplantae; Streptophyta; Magnoliopsida; Malvales; Malvaceae.